Molecule: long non-coding RNA, 1572 nt
Organism: Alligator mississippiensis (American alligator)
Lineage: Eukaryota; Metazoa; Chordata; Crocodylia; Alligatoridae
Exons: 3
Source: RefSeq, a predicted model, not a curated record
AAAAAAACCCCCCAAAAAAACCCAGUUCCCAGAAAGAGUGCUGUGAUGGCACCAAGCUCUGGUGUUCUGCACACCUGUCAAAGCUCAGAGGCUCAAUUCUCAGUUCUUUUUUUAGCUGAACCUCAAAAGAUUGAGGCUUCCAGGCAGCUGAGUGAGCCAUAUUUUGCAUGAGAUUUUUAUCACCUGUUUGCUAACCUCAUUUUAAGACUUGUUAUGGGACUGGGCACACUGAAGACAAAACUGGCAUCAGCAGCUCAACAGCACAUUUCUUUUGGCUCUGGAAAGAGCUGAUGGCACAAGAGCUAUAUUGUCUCUGCAGAAGAAUUCAAGUGUCAAUGCCAGCCUAUGGUCACAAAAUGCUCAGAUGCAGGAGUCGAGGUAGAUGUCAUCUACUUGGAUUUUAAGAAGGCCUUUGAUACGGUACCUCAUCCUAUUCUCAUAAACAUGCUGAGCGGCUGUAACAUAGAUGAUUACACAGUCAGGCCCUGUAGCUGCACACAGGAGAGAAGCUGCAGUUGAGAGCUGGGAAGUGGGCUCCGGGUCACCGCUGCCUAUAGCCAGGGCCCAGAGGAUGCACCCCCUCCGUAGAAGGAGGACCCAGGACCACACCAUCCUCAGGGACUGCUGGUGACAGUGUCAGAGGACCGUCUGGUAGAUGCAUGGACCUGGCGGGGGGGAGGAUGUGGUCCACCAGGACAGGUGGUGGGUGGAGGAUGUGGCCCACAAGGUCACACAGCACUGGCACAAAGAGGCAUGGGCCCAGUAUGAGGAGGCACAGGAUGGGGUAGACUGGGAAUUAUGGGCACAGCUCCUGGCCCUGCAGCACGAGUAGGUGAAGGCCCUGCAAGAGCAGACUGCAGUCUGGCCAGGACAGUGCAGGCCAUAGAUGAUGACCAGUGGGUGCUGGACACCAUCCUGGCCCUGGCAGUUACCUUCACGGCCUGGCCCCUGACCCUCAUCCCACCUGCCUCUGGCAGCCACCUGCCACCCAGCAGCAGGCUUCCCCAUGGGCCUGGAUAAGGUCCAGCACUUCCUCCACCAGCCAGGAGCCCCUGCCCUGGACCUUUCCCCAGGUUCCCUGCCACCCAGUCCCUCAUCUGGGCCCAGGCUCACCAUUCACCCUGUCUUCACAUGGGCAUGGAGCUGGAACUGCCUGCAGUGGGGCCAGGACCACAUGCCAGCCCUGCUGGCCCUAGAUACUUGCUACUGGAGAUGGAGCUGCCUGUCCCCAGGGACCACUGGCCAAUGUCACUCCUGGGCAAGCCCCUCACCUGCCAGGCUCACCACAGCAUGCACACCCAUAGGGGAACAGCCAGAGGCCAGGAUGCUGGCUGUCUGUCCCCAGGCUCUGCCCCCUAGGCAUCCCCACCCAACAGCUCCACAUCCUGAGACAGCACACAAACCACAUUGUAAAUAGUUUGCACAGAGAAGAGGGUGUUUUAUGUUGGUUGGUGAGGUGGGUGGUGGUGGGGCUCUGUUGUUGACCAGGAGGGGGAGUCUCUUUGUUGGGAAGGAAGGGAGGGGGGCAGUCUGCUUGAUGUGAAGAGAAUAAAAAAACUCUUGUUCUUCUGA